GCAAGUCGAGCGGUAAAAUCUUUUUAGCUUGCUAAAAAGAUUUGAGAGCGGCGAACGGGUGAGUAACACGUUGGAAUCUGCCCCCAAGUCAGGGAUAGCCAUUGGAAACGAUGAUUAAUACCGGAUGUGCUCUUCGGAGUAAAGAUUUAUCGCUUGGGGAGUGGCCUGCGGACUAUCAGCUUGUUGGUGAGGUAAUAGCUCACCAAGGCUAUGACGGUUAACUGGUCUGAGAGGAUGAUC
RNAcentral lists this ribosomal RNA (240 nucleotides) under uncultured bacterium. RNAcentral's name for it is "partial 16S ribosomal RNA". It matches the Rfam family "Bacterial small subunit ribosomal RNA", at positions 57 to 305 of the family's 1533-position model. The record is from RNAcentral.